RNAcentral lists this unclassified non-coding RNA (4789 nucleotides) under Leishmania donovani. Its description in RNAcentral is "gene:LdHU3.35.1040(CDS-product:NADH-dependent_fum arate_reductase_putative)". The record is from RNAcentral. Lineage: Eukaryota; Euglenozoa; Kinetoplastea; Trypanosomatida; Trypanosomatidae.
AGAUCCCUCCCCCACACACAUACACAAGCAUACACAAGUAUUCAACUUUCCAUUUCUUUUUGAACUUCAUUGCGCAUCUUCAAGUCACCACUGCCAUCACUACAGCCCCCACCCCCACCCCUUCUCCCCGUCUCACGCCACAAAACGUCACCUUACCUCUCCCUCAUUUUGGGUUUCUCUUCACGGACGACAGUGGAGAGUACUACGGUACACAUACACACAUAGUGAAAGGCGAAAGAGGGAAACGAUACGAAGCUCACUUUUUUUCUGAUUCCUGAACUAGAACAUCGAUUCACUUCUUGUUCCUAUGCUUACUCGGUUUGGGCCACUUGCUUCCCUCCCUCCCUCCCUUCCAUCAUCUCGCACCCACCCAUCGUAACACGGCGUACAGCUCCUCUCUCCGCAAUUCCCUUGUUUUGGUGUCUUUUGGUGUUUCUGGUGUCGUUUUUUUCUUGCCUCUUGAUUUUAUGAAUCUUUAUAUGUAUUUGUUGUUGUUUGCGUUCUCCUGCCUUCCUCCUCCCAUGCUCAUCAAAAGUAGCUUCUUGACUAUCUCGUUUGAUUGCGUGCGCGUGUGUUGUUGCACUCGUUGUUGGCUUUGCCUUCAAGCGCUUUCCCCUUUCCCCUCCCUGCUUCCCCCCCCCCUUUUUACUGGCUCAUUGGCACUCACACAGCCAACUCUUGACCACCGCCGUUGCACCAACAAGAAAGUAUAACUUCUUUCGCUACAGUUUUUUUUUUUCUCGUUACAUUGUCGCUUUAACGGAAUGUUACCCUGCCGCCGUUUUUCAAGCGUCGCAGCCUCGCAGUCGCGCUUGUGGCAGCAUGUCGCAUCCUAUACACUGCGCCGCACCACAGCACCGGCGAUACUUGCAACGGCUCAGAGCAGCUGUCUCGGCAUGGGUGGCUGCGCAACGGCGACACAGCGACGUUGCGCAGCCACCGACUCGCAUACAGGCGCUUCCGUAGUCGUUUCGGACCCCGAAAAGGCCGCUCGUGAGCGCGAUCGCAUUGCUCGCGGCCUGCUCACCACCAACUUUCCCGAGCUGCACGUUAACCAGCGCUCGGUGCUGCGGUAUAAGGACGUGAUGCACACGGUGCCGUACACGCUCACCAUCGCUGUAGACGGUAAUGUCGCUCGCCAAGAUGUGGAUCCUGUCGUCAAGGCAAUUCUAAGCGACUGCUUCGCGAUGGUGGACAAGCACCUCAACUCCUUCAACCCGGGCAGCGAGGUGUCGCAGGUCAACAGGAUGCCGGUGGGAAAGAAGCACGUCAUGUCGGAGCACCUCUUCGAGGUGGUCAAGUGCUGCGAGGAGGUCUACAGCAGUAGCGGCAGCUGCUUUGACCCGGCCGCAGCACCGCUGGUGCACAAGCUGCGCGAUGCCGCUCGCCGGCAGGACUCCGCCGAGGGGGACUUCGCCAUCUCUGCGGAGGAGGCGGGGCGUUUCACCCUGACGAACAGCUUUGCCAUCGACAUCAAAGAAGGCACCAUCGCGCGCAAGCACGAAGAUGCGAUGCUAGACCUGGGUGGCCUGAACAAGGGCUACACCGUCGACUGCGUGGUGGAUCGUCUGAAUGCAGCCAACUUCGCCGACGUGCUGUUCGAGUGGGGCGGCGACUGCCGCGCCUCGGGUGUGAAUGUGCAGCGCCAGCCGUGGGCAGUCGGCGUUGUGCGUCCGCCAUCGGUCGACGAGGUCGUCGCGGCUGCCAAGUCCGGCAAGUCGGUGACAAUGAAUGCCCACAGCCUUGGGGAUCACACGGAUGAACCGGCGCAGUCGACGUCGGCCGCCGACGGGGCGGCCAAGGCUGAGCACAAGGCGCUCCUGCGCGUCAUGUCGCUCAGCAAUGAGGCACUCUGCACGAGCGGCGACUACGAGAACGUGCUCUUCGCCAACGCGCUUGGAUGCGCUCUCUCGAGCACAUACGACUGGCGUCGCCGCUGCCUCAUUGAGCCCUGCCGGAACGAACUGGCCCAGGUUAGCAUCAAAUGCUACUCGUGUCUGUACGCCGACGCACUCGCCACCGCGAGCUUCGUGAAGCGCGACCCCGUGCGCGUGCGGUACAUGCUCGAGCACUACCGCCACGAUUACAACCGCGUGACCGACUACGCCGCCUACACGCGCGAGGGGGAGCGGCUGGCACACAUGUACGAGAUCGCGCACGAGAGCCCGGCCUGUCGGAUAGAGCGCAUUGCCGGCUCGCUGCCAGCGCGUGUUGUUGUGAUCGGCGGCGGCCUUGCUGGUUGCGCGGCCGCCAUUGAAGCAGCCAGCUGCGGCGCUACCGUCAUUCUCCUGGAGAAGGAAGCCCGGCUGGGUGGCAAUAGCGCCAAGGCCACCUCUGGCAUCAACGGCUGGGGCACCCGCACGCAGGCGGUGAAUCACGUCCUCGAUAACUGCAAGUUUUUUGAGCGAGACACGUUCCUCUCCGGCAAGGGUGGCCACUGCGACCCUGGACUCGUGCGCACCCUCUCUGUAAAAUCCGCUGAAGCGAUUAGCUGGCUGGAGUCCUUCGGCAUCCCGCUAACCGUCCUCUACCAGCUUGGUGGCGCGAGCCGCAGGCGCUGCCAUCGCGCGCCGGAUCAGAAAGACGGCACUCCGGUGCCCGUUGGCUUCACGAUCAUGCGUCACCUCGAGGACUACAUCCGCACCAAGCUGCAAGGCAAGGUGACGAUCUUGAACGAGAUGGCGGUGGUGAGCCUCAUGCACGACGUGAGCGCGAUGCCGGACGGAAACCGCGAGAUUCGCGUGCACGGUGUCCGCUACAAGUCGAUGACCGAUGCGUCGGGGACGGUUAUGGAUCUGCCGGCGGACGCCGUCGUGCUUGCCACCGGCGGCUUCUCGAACGACCACACGCCCAACUCGCUGCUGCGUGAGUACGCGCCAAACGUGUACGGCACCCCCACCACCAACGGCACGUUCGCCACCGGCGACGGUGUGAAGAUGGCGCGCAAGCUGGGCGCCACGCUGGUAGACAUGGACAAGGUGCAGCUGCACCCGACCGGUCUCAUUGACCCCAAGGACCCGUCGAAUCGCACCAAGUACCUUGGCCCCGAGGCGCUGCGCGGCUCCGGCGGCAUCCUGCUGAACAAGAACGGCGAGCGCUUCGUGAACGAGCUGGACCUGCGCUCCGUCGUGUCGCAGGCGAUUAUCGCGCAGGACAACGAGUACCCGAACUCGGGUGGCAGCAAGUUCGCAUACUGCGUGCUGAGCGAGGAGGCAGCGACGCUCUUCGGCAAGAACUCCCUCACGUACUACUGGAAGUCGCAGGGUCUGUUCACCCGUGUGGAUGACAUGAAGGCGCUCGCCGAGCUCAUCGGCUGCUCGGUUGAAAGCCUGCAUCGAACCCUCGAGACAUACGAGCGCCAGAGCACGGGGAAGAAGGCCUGCCCGCGGACUGGCAAGCUCGUGUUCCCCAGUGUGGUGGGCACCAAGGGGCCCUAUUACGUGGCGUACGUCACACCGUCGAUCCACUACACCAUGGGCGGCUGCUUCAUCUCUCCGGCGGCGGAGCUGCUCAUGGAAGAUCACUCCGUCAACAUAUUCGAAGACAUGCAUCCCAUUCUUGGCCUCUUCGGUGCAGGUGAGGUAACCGGCGGCGUGCACGGCCGCAACCGUCUCGGCGGCAACUCUCUGCUGGAGUGCGUCGUGUUCGGCAAGAUCGCUGGCGACCGCGCGGCCACAAUUCUGCAGAAGGAGAAGCACGGGCUCCGCAAGGAUAAGUGGGUGCCGGUGGUGGUGCGGGAGUCGAGGGCGAGUGAUCAGUUCGGUGUUGGCUCGCGCGUGCUGCGCUUCAACCUGCCCGGCGCGACGCAGACAUCCGGAUUGACCGUUGGCGAGUUCAUCGGUAUCCGCGGUGACUGGGACGGCCAGCAAUUGAUUGGCUACUACAGCCCCAUCAACAUGCCCGACGACAAGGGCCGCAUCUCGAUUCUGGCGCGUGGUGACAAGGGCAACCUGCAGGAGUGGAUCUCGUCCAUGCGUCCUGGCGACUCGGUCGAAAUGAAGGCCUGCGGCGGUCUCCGUAUCGAGCUCAAGCCCCACCAGAAGCAGAUGGUGUACCGUAACACGGUCAUUCGGAAACUGGGCCUCAUCGCCGGCGGCUCCGGUGUGGCGCCGAUGCUGCAGAUUAUUAAGGCCGCGCUCAACCGCCCAUACGUGGACAGCAUCGAGACGAUCCGCCUCGUGUACGCUGCCGAGGACGAGUAUGAGCUGACCUACCGCUCGCUGCUGAAGCAAUACCGCGCCGACAACCCGGACAAGUUCGACUGCGGCUUCGUGCUGAAUAACCCUCCUGAAGGCUGGACAGAGGGUGUGGGCUACGUCGACCGUGCCACGCUGCAGAGCCUUCUCCCGCCUCCGUCGAAGGGCCUGCUCGUGGCCAUUUGCGGCCCGCCGGUGAUGCAGCGCUCCGUCGUGGCGGACCUGCUGGCACUAGGCUAUAACGCCGAAAUGGUGCGCACGGUGGAUGAGGAUGGCGCGCUCUAGGCAGUCGGCCAAAUGACUCCUUGCUGCUGCGAUGGUCACACAACCCCCUGCACACAUUUGUGUGUGUGUGUGUGUAAACACUCUGCCUCAGCGCAGGCUGGGAGGCCUGUGAUGCCCCCCAGGUAGGCGCCUCUCCCUCUCCGUGACGUGCGUGCACGCGUGCCAGACUGCGGAUGUGACAGACAUCUUUGUGAUCUUCAUUGGCCGGCAUGUUCUAUUAGCUUGUUCUGGUCUCUGUGUGGCACGCUCGUGACGAAAAUUGUUUCCCUUGUCUCGCGAUGCUACUGUCUGUCUCCCCAUCCACUGUC